Molecule: ribosomal RNA, 253 nt
Filed under: uncultured bacterium
Lineage: Bacteria
Description: partial 16S ribosomal RNA
Rfam family: Bacterial small subunit ribosomal RNA
Source: RNAcentral
UACGGAGGGUGCAAGCGUUAUCCGGAUUCACUGGGUUUAAAGGGUGUGUAGGUGGGUUGAUAAGUCAGUGGUGAAAUCCCCGAGCUUAACUUGGGAACUGCCAUUGAUACUAUUGAUCUUGAAUACCGUGGAGGUCAGCGGAAUAUGUCAUGUAGCGGUGAAAUGCUUAGAUAUGACAUAGAACACCAAUUGCGAAGGCAGCUGGCUACGCGAAUAUUGACACUGAUGCACGAAAGCGUGGGGAUCAAACAGG